UGCCUGGCGGCCGUAGCGCGGUGGUCCCACCUGACCCCAUGCCGAACUCAGAAGUGAAACGCCGUAGCGCCGAUGGUAGUGUGGGGUCUCCCCAUGUGAGAGUAGGGAACCGCCAGGUUA
This 120-nucleotide ribosomal RNA is filed under the name Morganella morganii IS15. The record is from RNAcentral. Lineage: Bacteria; Pseudomonadati; Pseudomonadota; Gammaproteobacteria; Enterobacterales; Morganellaceae.